CGUGAGUCUGUGUCACGUUUUCCUGGACACCACGUUGAUGAAUUUUCCGUAUAAAAAGGGAAGAGUUUCCCUCAAUUGGCACAGUCAGUUCAAACAGUCAACUGAAGCAAACUAAUCCAAAAUGAUGAAAUUCUUGAUCUUCGCUUUCCUCAUCGCCUUCGCUGUGGCCGCUGCUUUCGCCAACCCCGAGCCAGCUCCUCGUCCAGCUCCUCUUCCAGUGCCACAACCACAGCACGGUUAUGGAUACGGUGGUUAUGGCGGUUAUGGAGGAUAUGGUGGAUAUGGAUACUACUAAAGCUGACACAAUUUCCUGGAUCUGAACACCUUUCAAGUGGGAAGUACAGCUUGUUACUGGAUAAAAAAUGAUUUAAUUUGGACCUUAAAAUCGAAAAAGAUUUUACAUUUUUAAAAUUUUGAUAAAAUUCAUGAAUUGAAGAAUAAAUUUUUGCUUUAAAAACUAAGAAAA
This is a long non-coding RNA of Lutzomyia longipalpis, 466 nucleotides long. RefSeq lists it as uncharacterized. The transcript is spliced from 2 exons. NCBI's taxonomy places the organism in Eukaryota, Metazoa, Arthropoda, Insecta, Diptera, Psychodidae. The record is from RefSeq and is a predicted model, not a curated record.